This is a long non-coding RNA of Panicum virgatum (switchgrass), 3326 nucleotides long. RefSeq lists it as uncharacterized. The record is from RefSeq and is a predicted model, not a curated record. Lineage: Eukaryota; Viridiplantae; Streptophyta; Magnoliopsida; Poales; Poaceae. The transcript has 2 exons.
AUGCAAUAGGAACGGUGCAUGGCCAGUGGCAGCGAUAUCUGCCGCAAUGUAUGUGCCACUGAAGACGAAGAGAUGCAGCAAGACUGCUACCUUGUAUCUAAUGUGAACCCAAAUACCAAAAAUAUGACUGCAGUUCUCGUCAAUAUAUUUCAUUUCUUUCUGAGAUGGUCCGUUGAAUCUGACAAUUUGCUGGACGAGCAAUGGUCGAGGCAACAGUUAGAGGGAACACUGCUUACGUCCUGGUAAUUUACUAACCAAUUAGUCCUGGUACGAUACUGGAUACAUGGAUCAUUUCAUUGUUUUUGAUUUAUUGACUUGGAUGGAAGGAAGAAGGCCAGGUUGUGAGAUGGGUAGGAGGAGCACUAGUUCUCGUUAGUUCAGUGGAAGAAGGCCAUAUCCUCAGGUCGACUUUGUAUGCACACUGGUUACAUGUACUCUUGGGAUGCUGAUAUUUUCCGUGCAACUGUUGUGACCUCCCAUUUCCCUUUCACUGGAACACGCAGGUUUGUACAAAUUUACGGCAGAGAAAUAAUAUCAAUUUGAGAACCUGAACCAGAUGACAAUGUUGGUUAAUCUUUGCUUAAGUUAUGUAUAUUUCUGCAUUCAGACAAAAUUUAUUCAUCUCUAGACCUUGAUUUAUCAAGAAGUUAGGAUGCAUUUUCUAGUUGCUGCCUUCGACUGUGUCAUUUGUGAGAUAUUUCCCUUGUGAUCUUCUCAAUACCAGGUAUACAUGCAGCUGUUUGGUAUGGAUACACAAGCUCCAGUGAGGAGGCAUUGAUGUCGGCCAUGUGACUUCUCGUCUUUGUUAUUGCGGUUUCCCUAAGAACUUAGAGAAUUACGCACCAGUUCACUAGGUUUUAUAUGUGCAAAUUAAUGUCACCUGGAUUGCCUUUAUCCGUGAAAAUGAAUAAACACUGAGACAUAUAACUUUAAUUGUAUUCAGAUGGGUAAAAUUUCACAUUUAAUCCCAGCAAAAUCAUCUCUGUUCCGCUUGGUUGAUGAUAGAUUGCUCUUAUUUAGAUUCUUCGGAUGCAUAUGGUGACGCCCAGUGCAAAUUAUUGUUUAAUUUUUAUUGAAACAUAAGCUGCUGCUUGUGAUUAGUGAGUAUGUGAUGCUGGUGUCAUGCGGCAACAUUGGUAGCUGACAGUUUUCUUUUUUUUUUGUUCUGAUUGGGGAAUGGGGGUUAUUUUUAAUUAUAUCUUAGAAGGAUGGUGUGAUUUGGUCAUUAAAAUAUUAAAUUGUUGAUUUGUUGGUCAAGAAGGGAGAUAUAACUACAGAUUCAACAUGGUAGUUACCUUAUCUCUGCCAUUUUGCCAUGAACCAAUUGUUAAUCGGAACUCCACUUUAAGAAACUGACUAUAAGAAUUGAUCUUAUCCUUCCAAUCAUACAGUCAGGAAUGUUAAACCUUGCAGUACAUUAAAUAUUGAUCGUGGUAGACAUGUAUGGAUGAAAUGAACUCAAAUUUAGCAACUAUAUGCUUUUUGUCUGGUUGAAUGUCUUUGUCUGCUCUGAGCAAAGAUGCCCAUAUCCCAUGACUUGUGUCUCUGAAACAAAUUCAUAUAUGCAGCUUUCAUGUAACAUUUACCUUGCUGAGGUUGUUAUGUUCAGUUAGCAAAUUUGUGUCAGUUAUCUUCAGGUUGUAAACUAGGCUAUUUAGUUUAUAGGCUGCAAAAGAAGGCCACAACAACUAUUUUUGAGGUGUUUGGGUGUUAACCUCUGUGGCUCUAUGUGCUUCUUAUGCAUUCAGUAUUGCUAAUCAUUUUCUGUGAUUCCCAAUUACAUAUCCUUCCUGUAUAUGAUAUAUGCAUGCAGCUUCUUUCCUGUAGCCAUGCAGUAAUUAUUUUUGACAAAGGUUAUAUGCAGUUUAAGCUUUUUCGUAAUGUUGGAGAUUUUUUCUGAACUCUGCACUGCUCAUUUUUCUGGCAGAAACUGAUGCAGAGGUGAGCUUAAUUGCCAAGUAAAGCCAGACUGCGUCUAUAACUUCAUAUUGAGAUGAACGCUACUGAUUUCCCAGAGCUAUACGCUGCAGCUGCAGGUGCCAUGGCCAUGGAGAUGAGGUUGUGGAAUGGCGGGUGUACAAAGGGGCGUACCCGGACGAGCUCUGUGAAAAAGAGGUCAGUGCCACCAGAUCCUCUCCUAAUCAAGAUGCUGCCCCUAUUCAAUCUCUGUUUCUCGUGCUGCUUAACAUUUUUAAUGUUUUUGAAAUCUGAAUUACCCAGCGGUAUACACCUGCUUUCGGUUGUCUUCGGAGGGAUAUGGAUGACCGGAUUGAUCCUGCUGCCAGACAGCCAUUUGACCAUGCUAGAGGCAACAAUUGGAUAGCAAACAAUGUGUCGUCAAUCCAACCUCUGCUAGCACUAACCUGACCUCAACCUGUGGAAUACCCUCUGUAUAGUUCUUGAGCUGCAGGAUCCCCGUGAAACUUCCAUGACCAUAUAUGUCACUGUUUCUGACUAGAAACCUAUCUCUGAUACAUCCCAUGUAAUUGAAGUUUUUUCUAGUCAAACAUCAGAGUAUUUGUGAUCAGUCAGUUUGGCUUCAAAAUAAUUAUGGGUUUUUUCUUGACACUAAUCACUAUAUGCAUUUAAGAAUUAUGUCAUAAACAGAACAAAGGUUGGUGUUUUUCAACAAGUGUCUGCAGGAUGCAAUUUACUGAUAGGCUGUACUUACAAAAGUUUAGGGUGCAUUUCAGUUAGGGUUCAGUUAGGGUGCAUUUCAGUUAAGGUCCUUGUCAACCACUGCCCUUCGUCAAUUGUGAAUGAUAUUUUUGGCAGAGCAUUUUGGUUUCUGAGCCAGAUCUUUUGCAUGUAAAUUUAUAAGACCCAACAGAUUUAAUUGAUUUAUGCUGCAUUGUAUUUCCUCUUGAUAAUUUAUUAAUGUUGCCAAGUCUGUCUCAUCUUAUACUGGAUACUUGUAUUCUUGUAGGUGCACCCAUAGUUCCAACUUCCAACAAGUGAGAGCUGCAGAGAACAGCAGGACACGCGCAUACAGGCAAGGGCAGAGACACGCUAACAGAAUCAUCAGCUGGGCUCCAUCAAUCUUCAGUUGUAUAAUAGCGGUUGGGUCACUUGACGGAAACAAAAGAUUACGAGGGUCGAGGGAGCCUCUGUUGUACCUGUCUUUAACUGCAUUGGGAAGGAACACAAAUUUAUUGAGAUUAUGAGCUUGAGAUGUGAUUGCGAACAUUAUUUUCAUGUAAGGUGUUUGCCAUAAAAGGUUAUCUAUUGGCAGAUUGUACUACUGUAUUAUUGAGCUUGCAAAGAAUUACCAACCUUUUGUUUGGACCCCAUCAAGCUCUCUCGUGGGCUAUUCUUACCUUAAGAAA